UCCCUGGUGGUCCAGUGGUUAGAUUCUGCACUCCCAAUGCAGGGGGCAAGGGUUCGAUCCCGCAUCAGGGAA
This is a transfer RNA of Ovis aries (sheep), 72 nucleotides long. It matches the Rfam family "tRNA". From Rfam's summary of the family: Transfer RNA (tRNA) molecules are approximately 80 nucleotides in length. Their secondary structure includes four short double-helical elements and three loops (D, anti-codon, and T loops). The record is from Rfam. Lineage: Eukaryota; Metazoa; Chordata; Mammalia; Artiodactyla; Bovidae.